Molecule: small nuclear RNA, 108 nt
Organism: Gorilla gorilla gorilla (western lowland gorilla)
Lineage: Eukaryota; Metazoa; Chordata; Mammalia; Primates; Hominidae
Source: Ensembl
GUGCUUGCUUCGGCAGCACAUAUACUAAAAAUUGGAACAAUACAGAGAAGAUUAGCAUGUUCCCUGUGCAAGGAUGACACACAAAUUCAUGAAGCAUUAAAAUUUUUU